AAUUACACUCUAAAAAUGGCUGGGUUAUUUUUUAACCCAAAAUGCUGGGUUGAGUCUGUUGGGUUGUUUUGCUGGGUUAUUUUUUUACAUUUUAAACACUUUUUGGGUAGUUUCAGUUUUCUGGUUGUUGGGUUAAAACUGCUGGGUUAUUAUACUGGGUUGUUUGAAGAGGCUCACGUGCUUCGCGCCUUGGAUGUUUGAAUGUGCUCAGCAACGGUCGUCGUGAAAGGACAGAGUCACUGGAAGCAGUUGUUUCAAGAGUGUGCAGAGUUUUUAUGUCCAUCCAUUAAUGAGGCUAGCAAGGCCUUCAUACAACUUCAGCCAAUUGCAACAAAUGUGGUGGAAGUUCUUCUCUGGACAGAAUCCUCGAAAUCCUUUCCUUUAUUUCCUGGCAAUGGGAAACAUGCAACAGAUCUCUCAAUCUUUUUUCUCUAUCAGUCUCUCUGAUGGAGCCAAUACGGAAGUGACUUAAACUGCAAUUCGGCCAAGAUGGCGACGGCACGCACCGCCUACUUUAGGCUUCAAAAAUGCUCUUCACAACCAAUGGGUGACAUCACGGACACUACUUUCAUAUUUUUUUACAGUCUAUGGUUUAAAGGCAUUUUACGUGCUUGAAAAUAAAUACCCCAGGCAAUGUGCAUCUACUGUAGUCUGUCAUUUUCCAAAUGGAUGAAUCCUCUGCUGUUCGGUUCCUUUGUACAUCUUUGUUCGUGAGGAGUAACUUUAAUAAAUGAAGUAUUUUUAGUCAAAUACAUACCAUACUCUGAAACUUGGAACAUCUGUUCUGUAAAAAACUUUACACAUCUGUAAAUGAUUUUACUUUUAAUUUAACAAUUACAUUGUUUAUUUUCUUACACUGC
Long non-coding RNA from Paramisgurnus dabryanus, 860 nucleotides. RefSeq lists it as uncharacterized. NCBI's taxonomy places the organism in Eukaryota, Metazoa, Chordata, Actinopteri, Cypriniformes, Cobitidae. The record is from RefSeq and is a predicted model, not a curated record.